AUUGAACGCUGGCGGCAGGCCUAACACAUGCAAGUCGAACGGUAACAGAAAGCAGCUUGCUGCUUUGCUGACGAGUGGCGGACGGGUGAGUAAUGUCUGGGAAACUGCCUGAUGGAGGGGGAUAACUACUGGAAACGGUAGCCAAUACCGCAUAACGUCGCAAGACCAAAGAGGGGGACCUUCGGGCCUCUUGCCAUCGGAUGUGCCCAGAUGGGAUUAGCUAGUAGGUGGGGUAAAGGCUCACCUAGGCGACGAUCCCUAGCUGGUCUGAGAGGAUGACCAGCCACACUGGAACUGAGACACGGUCCAGACUCCUACGGGAGGCAGCAGUGGGGAAUAUUGCACAAUGGGCGCAAGCCUGAUGCAGCCAUGCCGCGUGUAUGAAGAAGGCCUUCGGGUUGUAAAGUACUUUCAGCGGGGAGGAAGGGAGUAAAGUUAAUACCUUUGCUCAUUGACGUUACCCGCAGAAGAAGCACCGGCUAACUCCGUG
This 490-nucleotide ribosomal RNA is filed under the name uncultured bacterium. RNAcentral describes it as "partial 16S ribosomal RNA". It matches the Rfam family "Bacterial small subunit ribosomal RNA", at positions 30 to 507 of the family's 1533-position model. The record is from RNAcentral.